RNAcentral lists this ribosomal RNA (414 nucleotides) under uncultured bacterium. RNAcentral's name for it is "bacterial SSU rRNA". It matches the Rfam family "Bacterial small subunit ribosomal RNA", at positions 355 to 761 of the family's 1533-position model. The record is from RNAcentral.
UGGGGAAUUUUGGACAAUGGGCGAAAGCCUGAUCCAGCAAUGCCGCGUGCAGGAAGAAGGCCUUCGGGUUGUAAACUGCUUUUGUACGGAACGAAAAGGCUCUUUCUAAUAAAGAGGGCCCAUGACGGUACCGUAAGAAUAAGCACCGGCUAACUACGUGCCAGCAGCCGCGGUAAUACGUAGGGUGCGAGCGUUAAUCGGAAUUACUGGGCGUAAAGCGUGCGCAGGCGGUUCUAUAAGACAGAUGUGAAAUCCCCGGGCUCAACCUGGGAAUGGCAUUUGUGACUGUAGAGCUAGAGUACGGUAGAGGGGGAUGGAAUUCCGCGUGUAGCAGUGAAAUGCGUAGAUAUGCGGAGGAACACCGAUGGCGAAGGCAAUCCCCUGGACCUGUACUGACGCUCAUGCACGAAAGCG